Prionailurus viverrinus (fishing cat) is the source of this 294-nucleotide long non-coding RNA. RefSeq lists it as uncharacterized. The transcript is spliced from 3 exons. NCBI's taxonomy places the organism in Eukaryota, Metazoa, Chordata, Mammalia, Carnivora, Felidae. The record is from RefSeq and is a predicted model, not a curated record.
AGAGAGGCAUCCUGUUGCUCUCUGGGACUCCAUCUGUUGCCUACUCCAGCCAGUCUCCUGGAGGAAGGGUCUGGAAAAAGAUAUCAAGUGUCCUUGGGGAAGCAGUGUAUAAAGUGUGCGAAGAUAACUUGACUCAUCGGGUUGCUGAGGGGACUGAGUGAGAAAAUCCACGUAAAGUCCGAGGAGUGCUUUCCCACCAGGUGCUCUCGGUACAUUGAAGGUUCUCACUGAUGGCAAGGGAAAAAACAGAGGAAGAUUCAUGGGCCAGUGUCACUAGAGGAUUCACUGCCGACA